CGACCCCAGGUCAGGCGGGGUUACCCGCUGAGUUUAAGCA
RNAcentral lists this ribosomal RNA (40 nucleotides) under Crataegus douglasii. RNAcentral describes it as "partial 26S ribosomal RNA". Lineage: Eukaryota; Viridiplantae; Streptophyta; Magnoliopsida; Rosales; Rosaceae. The record is from RNAcentral. RNAcentral also lists the same sequence under 2 other names.